CCUUCAACUUAACCAGGCCACACCUCUGCAGUGGAGCCCAUCACUUCAACAGCCAUCGUUCCAGGACACACUCUAGAAUCCAGCAUGCUUUUGGAAUGAUGAAGACCAGGUUCGAGGCCAUCUUCCUGCAAACAGAUGCACCACACCUUGGUAUCUGAUUGGACAAUGGAAAGAAGCAUCCCAAACACUCUCUACAGCCCACCCUGUGUGACCACCCUGUGCUUACCAAAACCAGACUUCCUGUUCAGGCAAAUAUCAGGUGAAUUACAGAAACAUGUGGAAGGAGCUGCGCACCAUUUUACAUAGACACAGCUGGAAGUUGUUUUGUCACCACGGACCAUGGUGAGAAGUCAUUGCACGGGAGCUGGGAAUCAUCACAAGGAGAGAUCACUCACUGUGAUUAAUUUGCACCGUUUAUCUUGAUUUACUGUAAAUAAGCACACUUUCAGAAACCUGACAGAUAAUUCGAGAAACAGCCAACUGCCUGGUUUGAAAGGCCUAUUUCCAGUAAUCGUUGGCAUAAAGUGCCAUGGUCAACAGUGUCAAACGCUUUUGAUGGAUCAUAUAAAAAGAGCUGCAGAGUAGAUCUUUGCGUCCAGGGCUUCACUGAGAACUUUUAGGGAGGCAGUUACAGUACUGUGCAGUUUUCUAAAACCAGAUUGGAAAGGAGAUAAAAUACUAUUUUAAUCCAGAUAAUUUUUAAGUUGAUUAUUUACCAGCCUUUCAAGAAUCUUAGGUACGACACAAAGUUUGGAAAUUGGCCAGUAGUUAUUAGUCAUGGAAGAACCAUCACCUUUCCAUAGGGGGAGUACGAAGGUGCACCUCCACAUCCCUGCUAAAGUGUUCUGUUGUAUAGAAAGAUUAAAAAUAUAAAAAAAAACUGGCUCAGCUAUGAUAUUUGUAGCCAGGCAAAAGACAAAAGGAGAACCGGCUGACCUUUUGGCCCUGCAGUGUCCUCGGGGAUAGAAACAAUUAGGACAGGAGGCCUAGUUGAAGAGCUCUCUCCCAGCACCUCAUUCAUAAGGACAAACCAGGUCAGCUGCAGUGGGCUUCUCACUGACUCCCUCUCCUGAACUAGAUCCUUUCAAUCCUGAAGACAAAGGAAAUCAAAAAGGCAGCUGACAAAAAGACUAAAAAUAAACAUAAACUUCUUUUUAAAGAUCAUUGGUUCAUAGAACUAAAAAGAGGAAGAAUACUGUCUGGAACAAUAUAUCCUGGCUGCAAUGAUAUCAAACGUUCUGUAUAGGAUGAGGGUUAAUAAAACUGUACUCGUGUGCACAAGAUGCUUAUGAGUGUAGUUUAAACUGACAGAUUAUUUACUCUCAUACUUCAGAACCACAGUGGCAGAAUCUUUGGUGAAAAGGAAAUUUUCAUCUGUCAUUUGGAUGAAAUGAGCUGUUGGAACCUAAAACACGAUGUUUAAAUUCUUACUUUAUAUGAAGCCCCCCCACCCACCCACCCCCCAAAAAGAGCUUAAUUUCAGAAAAUCACAAAUAGCUGUGUAUAUACGUCCUGUAAAACUUCCAUGCAAAUGCUAAAAACAUAACAAUCAAAGGGUUUUAAGCUUUUAAUUGUUAUUCCACUAUAUAGUCAUGUACUUACAUGUAAAAAUACAUUUAUUUUCUCUGUCUCCUGCUGCUACGGUACCACCAUUUUUAAAAUCUUUGACCAUGCCAGUCACAUACUUCACCAGGCUCAUUUUGACCCCUUGUCAUUUUAAUCAUCCUGUAACUAAUUUAAAACCCCAUCGUCUCAAAGGGGACAUGAUUUUAACCGUACAUGAAUUUGAACCCAUAAUAAAGACACUGCCAAGUUACCUAACAACAUGAUUGUUUAUACACAAUUUGGCUAGUUAAAUUGGUUGAUAAAUAAAUAUAUAUAAGAUUAUGACUAAAUAAAACACGAGAAAAUACUGCAUUACUGCAAUUGCUGAGAGGCUGGAGAUAGUUGAUCAAAGCCAAAUGUGGAAUGAUAAACUUUGACUGUUUUUCUUUUUCAGUAAUUAUCUAAAAUGUGUUUCUUCAUUUUUCUGGCCAGAGUGAGGUCAGUUUAAAAAUAGAGCCUACAAAAAAAAUGCUUCAUGUUACCCGAAAUUCAUUUUUUACUUCCAUAACGUUCUUCUUCUGUAACAAUUAUAUUAUUUGUAUGUGUCAUUUAUUUUUGUAUUUGUUAUAUCCUUAUGUAUUUUUGAUGA
Long non-coding RNA from Haplochromis burtoni (Burton's mouthbrooder), 2194 nucleotides. RefSeq lists it as uncharacterized. The transcript has 3 exons. Lineage: Eukaryota; Metazoa; Chordata; Actinopteri; Cichliformes; Cichlidae. The record is from RefSeq and is a predicted model, not a curated record.